AUUGAACGCUGGCGGCAGGCCUAACACAUGCAAGUCGAGCGGAUGAAGGGAGCUUGCUCCUGGAUUCAGCGGCGGACGGGUGAGUAAUGCCUAGGAAUCUGCCUGGUAGUGGGGGAUAACGUCCGGAAACGGGCGCUAAUACCGCAUACGUCCUGAGGGAGAAAGUGGGGGAUCUUCGGACCUCACGCUAUCAGAUGAGCCUAGGUCGGAUUAGCUAGUUGGUGGGGUAAAGGCCUACCAAGGCGACGAUCCGUAACUGGUCUGAGAGGAUGAUCAGUCACACUGGAACUGAGACACGGUCCAGACUCCUACGGGAGGCAGCAGUGGGGAAUAUUGGACAAUGGGCGAAAGCCUGAUCCAGCCAUGCCGCGUGUGUGAAGAAGGUCUUCGGAUUAUAAAGCACUUUAAGUUGGGAGGAAGGGCAGUAAGUUAAUACCUUGCUGUUUUGACGUUACCAACAGAAUAAGCACCGGCCAACUUCGUG
RNAcentral lists this ribosomal RNA (484 nucleotides) under uncultured bacterium. RNAcentral describes it as "partial 16S ribosomal RNA". It matches the Rfam family "Bacterial small subunit ribosomal RNA", at positions 30 to 507 of the family's 1533-position model. The record is from RNAcentral.